CAGUCGCCGCGGGAAUACGAAGGGGGCUAGCGUUGUUCGGAUUAACUGGGCGUAAAGGGCGCGUAGGCGGGUUUUUAAGUCAGAGGUGAAAUCCCAAGGCUCAACCUUGGAACUGCCUUUGAUACUGGAAGUCUUGAGUCCGGGAGAGGUGAGUGGAACUGCGAGUGUAGAGGUGAAAUUCGUAGAUAUUCGCAAGAACACCAGUGGCGAAGGCGGCUCACUGGCCCGGUACUGACGCUGAGGCGCGAAAGCGUGGGGAGCAAACAGGAUUAGAUACCCGCGUAGUCCCUGUCUCUUAUAC
This 301-nucleotide ribosomal RNA is filed under the name uncultured bacterium. RNAcentral's name for it is "partial 16S ribosomal RNA". It matches the Rfam family "Bacterial small subunit ribosomal RNA", at positions 509 to 807 of the family's 1533-position model. The record is from RNAcentral.